AUUUAAUUAGGUAAAUGUAUUCAAUGUUAAUGCAGCAACUUAACUGAUUUAUGCGCCCACGGGUCAGGUUCAUUGUCCACACCGUCCGUUUGCCAUUUGCAGUUUGCUCAAUUUAAUUUGGCAAGAAAUCACGUAGAUAAGCAAUUAACAUGGCCACUGAAGGAUGCCAGUCGCAGUGCCAGUUCCAGUUCCAGUUCCAGGUCCCUGUUCUUUGAAAGUCCUGCCAAGUCACAGGCCACGUACGUAUCGUCUGUCCCUUGUUAAAGAGCAUAAAAUCCGCAGACAGCUUUUCAAAUGCAAAGCAACUCCAUGGAGUGAGAUACUUAUGGAAACAGCUGCAGUCGGACUCGCACUGGCAGUAAGUUUAUUUAGUUGAUGCUGUGAGAGACACUCCAGUUGAUGGUCUUUUGGUGUUCAGUUUGAUUGCAAAGGAGAGUUAUGAUGCUGAACAGCAGCGUUUUUGACACAAAG
Molecule: long non-coding RNA, 471 nt
Filed under: Drosophila guanche
Lineage: Eukaryota; Metazoa; Arthropoda; Insecta; Diptera; Drosophilidae
Source: RNAcentral